Molecule: ribosomal RNA, 252 nt
Filed under: uncultured bacterium
Lineage: Bacteria
Description: partial 16S ribosomal RNA
Rfam family: Bacterial small subunit ribosomal RNA
Source: RNAcentral
UACGUAGGGCGCAAGCGUUAUCCGGAAUUAUUGGGCGUAAAGAGCUCGUAGGCGGUUUGUCGCGUCUGCCGUGAAAGUCCGGGCUCAACUCCGGAUCUGCGGUGGGUACGGGCAGACUAGAGUGAUGUAGGGGAGACUGGAAUUCCUGGUGUAGCGGUGAAAUGCGCAGAUAUCAGGAGGAACACCGGUGGCGAAGGCGGGUCUCUGGGCCGAAUACUGACGUGAGGAGCGAAAGCAUGGGUAGCGAACAGG